GAGAGUUUGAUUAUGGCUCAGGACGAACGCUGGCGGCGUGCCUAAUACAUGCAAGUAGAACGCUGAAGGAGGAGCUUGCUCUUCUGGAUGAGUUGCGAACGGGUGAGUAACGCGUAGGUAACCUGCCUGGUAGCGGGGGAUAACUAUUGGAAACGAUAGCUAAUACCGCAUAAUAGUAGAUGUUGCAUGACAUUUGCUUAAAAGGUGCAAUUGCAUCACUACCAGAUGGACCUGCGUUGUAUUAGCUAGUUGGUGGGGUAACGGCUCACCAAGGCGACGAUACAUAGCCGACCUGAGAGGGUGAUCGGCCACACUGGGACUGAGACACGGCCCAGACUCCUACGGGAGGCAGCAGUAGGGAAUCUUCGGCAAUGGACGAAAGUCUGACCGAGCAACGCCGCGUGAGUGAAGAAGGUUUUCGGAUCGUAAAGCUCUGUUGUAAGAGAAGAACGAGUGUGAGAGUGGAAAGCUCACACUGUGACGGUAUCUUACCAGAAAGGGACGGCUAACUACGUGCCAGCAGCCGCGGUAAUACGUAGGUCCCGAGCGUUGUCCGGAUUUAUUGGGCGUAAAGCGAGCGCAGGCGGUUAGAUAAGUCUGAAGUUAAAGGCUGUGGCUUAACCAUAGUACGCUUUGGAAACUGUUUAACUUGAGUGCAAGAGGGGAGAGUGGAAUUCCAUGUGUAGCGGUGAAAUGCGUAGAUAUAUGGAGGAACACCGGUGGCGAAAGCGGCUCUCUGGCUUGUAACUGACGCUGAGGCUCGAAAGCGUGGGGAGCAAACAGAUUAGAUACCCUGGUAGUCCACGCCGUAAACGAUGAGUGCUAGGUGUUAGACCCUUUCCGGGUUUAGUGCCGUAGCUAACGCAUUAAGCACUCCGCCUGGGGGAGUACGACCGCAAGGUUGAAACUCAAAGGAAUUGACGGGGUCCGCACAAGCGGUGGGAGCAUGUGGUUAUUCGAGCACGCGAGACUACAGUCUGACAUCCUCUGACGUCUAGAAAUAGAGUUUCUCGACAGUGACGUGUGCAUGCUGUCUCAGCUCAUCUGGAGUUGGUUAGUCCGCACAGGCCAACCCCAUGUAGUGCAUAUAUGACUUAGCGACGUGCGUAACGAAAGUGGAGAGUCAUCUCAUGUGCCUGUAACCUGGGGGUACCACACGGUA
RNAcentral lists this ribosomal RNA (1162 nucleotides) under uncultured bacterium. RNAcentral describes it as "bacterial SSU rRNA". It matches the Rfam family "Bacterial small subunit ribosomal RNA", at positions 8 to 1137 of the family's 1533-position model. The record is from RNAcentral.